GAUGAACGCUGACAGAAUGCUUAACACAUGCAAGUCAACUUGAAUUUGGGUUUUUAACUUAGGUUUGGGUGGCGGACGGGUGAGUAACGCGUAAAGAACUUGCCUCACAGCUAGGGACAACAUUUGGAAACGAAUGCUAAUACCUAAUAUUAUGAUAAUAGGGCAUCCUAUAAUUAUGAAAGCUAUAAGCGCUGUGAGAGAGCUUUGCGUCCCAUUAGCUAGUUGGAGAGGUAACGGCUCACCAAGGCGAUGAUGGGUAGCCGGCCUGAGAGGGUGAUCGGCCACAAGGGGACUGAGACACGGCCCUUACUCCUACGGGAGGCAGCAGUGGGGAAUAUUGGACAAGGGACCAAGAGUCUGAUCCAGCAAUUCUGUGUGCACGAUGAAGUUUUUCGGAAUGUAAAGUGCUCUCAGUUGGGAAGAAAGAAAUGACGGUACCAACAGAAGAAGAGACGGCUAAAUACGUG
RNAcentral lists this ribosomal RNA (467 nucleotides) under uncultured bacterium. Its description in RNAcentral is "partial 16S ribosomal RNA". It matches the Rfam family "Bacterial small subunit ribosomal RNA", at positions 28 to 507 of the family's 1533-position model. The record is from RNAcentral.